GGUAUGGGAUGAGCUUGCGUCCGAUUAGCUAGUUGGCGGGGCAACGGCCCACCAGGGCGACGAUCGGUAGCCGGCCUGAGAGGGUGAUCGGCCACAUUGGGACUGAGAUACGGCCCAGACUCCUACGGGAGGCAGCAGUAGGGAAUAUUGCACAAUGGGGGAAACCCUGAUGCAGCAACGCCACGUGUGGGAAGAAGCAUUUCGGUGUGUAAACCACUGUCGUGAGGGAAUAAGGCAUUGUUUCGGCGAUGUUGAAUGUACCUCGAAAGGAAGCACCGGCAAACUUCGUGCCAGCAGCCGCGGUAAUACGAGGGGUGCAAGCGUUGUUCGGAAUCACUGGGCGUAAAGGGAGCGUAGGCGGAGAUGCAAGCGGACUGUACAAUACCGGGGCCCAACCCCGGACCUGCAGUUCGGACUGCACCUCUUGGAUAGUUCAGGGGCAGGC
Molecule: ribosomal RNA, 445 nt
Filed under: uncultured bacterium
Lineage: Bacteria
Description: bacterial SSU rRNA
Rfam family: Bacterial small subunit ribosomal RNA
Source: RNAcentral